AGGUCCGGCCAGUGUGGCCGAACCGUUGGCACGUGCGGCACUGCUGGGGAGGAGGGACCCAGGCCUUUAGUGGGACCAUGAGGUGCCCGCAGUGGAUUGCACGCAGGAGCUUUAGCCCCCUGAAAUUUUGUCUCUUCCGCGCCACGCAUUUGGCACUUAGCAAACAUGAACCUAUGGCGAUGCCGAGGCUGGCGAUACACAGGGAUGACAGGGGGCUGGCGUGACAGGCCUAUUCAAUCGCUAUCGUAUUAAUUAUGUUUUAAAGCUAGGAUCACGAUUUGUGGUGUCCUGUUUUAUGUUUUUUUUUGUGGUGCCUGAGUUUUUAGGAACGCCACUUGGUGAACGCUUAAUAUGGCAGCAUCAGGCACGGAUGUAAACAGUGCCCUAUCGUGCUGUAAUUAUUAUGCAAUAGCUUGGGUUGACAGGGUCUGGUAUGCGGGAGCAGGAGUGUGCAGAUAAUAGAAAGGGUGAUCGACAUCAAUGCCAGCAGCCCGUCCAUGACGCCACCGCACGCCGCUGAACGCCCGCUCAGUGCUGCCGCCUGGCGGCAGGAGGUAAAAGCCGUAGUCGCGGACAUCGCACCGCAGGUGGCGUCUGCAGCGCCGUCGUCGCUGCCGGCGGACGCGGGCGGCGCGCUCCUCAACAUCACCACGCUGGAGGGGCGGUGUGUGACCGUGCGUCUUUCGGCGGGCGGCUUCGCCGUCUGCGGCGAGGGGCACGACGCCGACGACGGCGGCGACGGUCGGCUCUUCGAGACGCCGUACGCGCUGUUGCACAGCGUUAGUCCCGGUUUCACGGCUGCCUUCGGCCUCCAGCUGGCCGAGCGGCUGGGCCGGCUCGGCGCCGCACCAGCGCCGUCCCAACAGGGCUCGGUGGAUGACCAGGAGGUUGCCGUGGACGGGAGUCGCGCGGUGACGGCACGUGCGACCGACGGCGCCCGGGCGGCAGCCGAGCACGCGCCGGACGGACUCGACGGCGCUGACGGACUGGACAGCGCUGGUCAGAGCCGAUGUGGCCGGUUGUGAUCUGAAGAAGCGAGCGAGAACUCGAGUGUUUAUGCGGCGUAGCGAUAUAGGCACGCACAUGUCAAUCUGGAUCAUGCUGCAUCGUUGUCAGCCCCCGACUGAACGGCACCGGGUGGCA
This 1143-nucleotide unclassified non-coding RNA is filed under the name Pollicipes pollicipes. RNAcentral describes it as "uncharacterized LOC119114346, transcript variant X1". Lineage: Eukaryota; Metazoa; Arthropoda; Thecostraca; Pollicipedomorpha; Pollicipedidae. The record is from RNAcentral.